UAGAUGAAUGAUGGGAAUGUGUUAUAAACCAAAAAUUAUGUUUCAUCUAAAUCAGCACAACCGAGGUCAUU
This 71-nucleotide small nucleolar RNA is filed under the name Pteropus vampyrus (large flying fox). Its description in RNAcentral is "Small nucleolar RNA SNORD112 (ENSPVAG00000030348.1)". Lineage: Eukaryota; Metazoa; Chordata; Mammalia; Chiroptera; Pteropodidae. The record is from RNAcentral.